AAACUUCGAAUGUGCUAAUUUGUUCAUUUUGCUUACUGCCUGUUGUUUUUCCUCUAGAAUGUAAGUCCCAAAUGAAUAGGAACUGCACUGGUGUUUUUUUUUUUUUUUUUUUUUCUUUGUCUUUCUAGUGUCUGGGAGGACAAUGCAGAGCAAAGAGCAGUUCCUCAUAAAUAUUUGUUAAAUGAACACAAGAAGAAGUGAAUUUUAUUUAUUUAUUUAAGAUAAAUUUAUGUUUCUCUGUCCCAUCAAACUUUAAUGAGUUAUUUGGUCACUGACUUUAAACAUUAUCAGAAAGUUCAGUUUUCUUGAGUCUUCAAAAUAUUUUUUAACAAUUCAAGCAUAAAACAUAAAAUGCAUGAUUAAUGACUCUCUCUUAAUAGAUGAAAUAAGAGAUUCUUUGACUUAUUUAUGAACAAAUGAACAAAUUGGAACAAAUAAGAGCUUUAAAGUUAAUUACUGAGAUAACUGACAAAGGGUCAUUUUACAAGCUCUAGCCUGAAGCUGGGUCUAACUGCCAUCUCUGUACAGUUCAUCCUCCUGCAAUGUAACAGACAAUCUGCCUGUCAUCACAGAGUAGGUGGCCAGGCAGGACUGUGGGUGUGGAUAUGGGGACUAUGUCAGUUGUUAACCAGGGCCCACACUGCAGUUACCAGGAGCUAGUUGGUAUUAAGUUGCAAUUCCACUGGACAGGAACCAGAGAGUUUAUUUCACCCUGAAAGCAAAAGCCAUCUCCUUUCUACACAGACAAAUCCCCUUAGGGUAGGUGGGAUUUGUUCUGUUAAUUCAUCUACCAUGUAAAAAACAAUGGGCUUGAUGCUGGAGAUAGUGUUCAACAAGACAGACAGAGGCCCUGCAGCCAUGGACAGGACUUUCUCGAUCAUAAUUUUCAAUGUGUUUAUUCUGUUUAUAAAUCCUUGUCAGGAGAAUUAAAAUACCCAUUUCUGCUUCUUUUAGGUCCUAUGGUCUUUUAAAUUUCCAAAAAGUCUUAAUUUUUAUAUUCUGUUAAAUAUUAAUAUUGAGUGGAACAGCAGAAUAGAAAAUAUACUCAAGUGGAUAGAAGAGGGCUUUUUCAUGCGUCUUUACCAUCAAUUAGCUAGUUCACCUUUCACUCACUGAAGUUCAUCCCUGGUUGAACCUUAGAACCAUACAGAGAACAUAAAAAAAUAAAGCUUUAAAAACCAAAAAUUAAAACAACCUCUCACACACAGUGUUCAGAUCCAUCCAACCUCUGAUCAAUAAGAGAAUCUCCAAAAGUAAGGGCCUGGACUUCUAUGUAAGCAAAUCCAUUUUUGUGCUUUCUAAAUUAUAAGAUUUGACAAAUUCCCCUCUAAGCUGAUUUCCCUUUUUUAAAAUUAACUGAUUUUGUCUGAAUUUACAGCCAAGCCAUUGAGCAUAUUGUCAGGAAGUUUAGAAAACUGUAGCAUAGAAUUUUGAUGAAGGGGCACCAUUAAGUGAGCAUAUUCACUUGACUUUUUUCCUUAAUAUUUCUUUUUACUUCCUACUUCUCCUCUUUUCAAGAGCAUCUUUUUCUUUCAAGGACUGUGAGUUGAGACUAUGCAGGAAAAUCUGAAAGUGAUAGGAUUAGGUUGAAAGCUUGACUGGCAUGGCUGUCCUUGGUCAGGACAAGAGAUGCUUCCUCAUCCAAACUAGAAAUAGGGACAGUUCUGUGGGGAACAAGUAAGUUGGUGGUUUUCUUGAUUUUUCUCAGUAAAGCAAGAAACAAGGAAAUUUGCUUAGAGUCGAGGAAGAUUAUGGCUUUAUAAGAAUUGAAGUUUUGUAAUCAGAAGGGAGCAUCAGUAUUACUGUAGCUCAUCAAAAUGAAAACAAAGGGAAAGAGCUAUAAUGCUGACGGUCGAAGUUUGUAGAAUACAAAUUGAAAUGGUUCAUAUUAUAAAGUUAACUGAUACCAAUAAAAAGUAUAUUCUUAUAAUUUUAGAGGUAAAAAGUUUAAUUGUAGACUUGAGUUGUUGGAGUUUUGCUUAACAGAUGUGGCUGAAGAAAGGAGCUACAAAAGGAAUGAAAGAUGUUGGUGCAAGUUUAAUAUCUACAACAAACAGAAGAGAGUUCAAGAAAGAGCUGUUCACUUUCUUAGCACUAUUUCUCUCUUAGCAAUAUAUCCUUGCUUCUUUAACACACACACACACCACACACACACACACACACAUACACAUACACAAAUAUUCAUAUGCACAUAAUCUGAUGCUAAGACAGUUUCAAGAACACAUCUUCCAAAGCAUAUGCUAAAGGAGGUAAAUAUGUAAAAACAUGGAACAGACAAAAUUGAUUUUUAAGCCUGUUGAUCACUGCUGGUGUUUGCUUAUAUUUAAAUCACCUGUCAUGUAAAUCAGAAAUAGAAGUGUAUAAAGUCUUACAUUCAAUCCUUACACUUAUUUUAAUGAAAAAUACAAAUUUGGAAAUAAUAGAUCCUUUUGGGUGGUCUUGUUUCAUGAUUAAUCCAUCAUCCCAUCACUGUAACAUAACCCUUAAUGUAAUUUGUCUAGUUCCUUUAUUAUGUGCAAUUCUUUUAUGUUGAACAUGAAAAAAUAUAUGCCAGGAACAGGAACAUAGUUUGGCAUGGAUGAGGAGUACUGGGGAUUGAACUCGGGGGCACUUGAUCACUGAGCCACAUCCUCAGCUCUAUUUUACAUUUUAUUAGAGACAGGGUCUCACUGAGUUGCUUAUUGCCUCGAUUUUGCUAAUGCUGGCUUAGAACUUUUGAUCCUCCUGCCACAGCCUCCUGAGCUGCUGGGAUUACAGGCAUGUACCACUGCACCUGGCUAGGAACAUAUUUUUAAGAGGUCUUUUUUAUUGUUACUUGUACAGCAUCUUAACAAUAAUUGAAACUUUAAAAUAAUCCUAUCAAACCAAGACUUUACCAUUUUGUGCAUAUACAAAAAAGGUACAAAUUUUUACAUUUUAAUUAUAUAAAACAAAGUGUCUUGCAUGUGAUAGUUUUAAAUACACACACACACACACACAUAUAUAUAUAUAUAUAGUUGGCUUAAGUAACCUAAAUACAAAAAUAUUAAUAAAAGAAGUUGUAAUUUUGAAAUUCUCAUGUAACAACCCAAAAAGCUUUAAAAGACAUAUUUCUCAGCUUUAUCCACAAUUUAUUUUUCACUUAACCUUCCUGAGUUCAUAAUUCCUAUGCUUACAUGUAUGUGUACAGGCUUCAUUCAAAUAAAAAAAGCAAAUGUAGCAAUAACAAAAUGUACACCUUGAAAAGUCAUUCAAGAGGCGUAGUAGGUUUUUUCCUUUCCUUCUUUUUUCUUUUGAUGCAUUGAAUUUCAGAUAUAUUGUGAUACAUGAUACUGAAAUUUUCCAAGUUAAAGCCCA
Molecule: long non-coding RNA, 3336 nt
Filed under: Marmota monax (woodchuck)
Lineage: Eukaryota; Metazoa; Chordata; Mammalia; Rodentia; Sciuridae
Source: RNAcentral